AUUGAACGCUGGCGGAAUGCUUUACACAUGCAAGUCGAACGGCAGCACGGACUUCGGUCUGGUGGCGAGUGGCGAACGGGUGAGUAAUGUAUCGGAACGUGCCCAGUCGUGGGGGAUAACGUAGUGAAAAUUACGCUAAUACCGCAUACGAUCUAUGGAUGAAAGCGGGGGACCGCAAGUCCUCGCGACAUUGGAGCGGCCGAUAUCAGAUUAGGUAGUUGGUGGGGUAAAGGCCCACCAAGCCAACGAUCUGUAUCUGGUCUGAGAGGACGACCAGCCACACUGGAACUGAGACACGGUCCAGACCCCUACGGGAGGCAGCAGUGGGGAAUUUUGGACAAUGGGCGAAAGCCUGAUCCAGCCAUUCCGCGUGCAGGAUGAAGGCCCUCGGGUUGUAAACUGCUUUUGUACAGAACGAAAAGGUUUCUACUAAUACUAGGAGCUCAUGACGGUACUGUAAGAAUAAGCACCGGCUAACUACGUGCCAGCCGCCGCCGUAA
This 500-nucleotide ribosomal RNA is filed under the name uncultured bacterium. Its description in RNAcentral is "partial 16S ribosomal RNA". It matches the Rfam family "Bacterial small subunit ribosomal RNA", at positions 30 to 523 of the family's 1533-position model. The record is from RNAcentral.